Molecule: ribosomal RNA, 498 nt
Filed under: uncultured bacterium
Lineage: Bacteria
Description: partial 16S ribosomal RNA
Rfam family: Bacterial small subunit ribosomal RNA
Source: RNAcentral
AUUGAACGCUGACGGCAUGCUUUACACAUGCAAGUCGAACGGCAGCGCGGGGCAACCUGGCGGCGAGUGGCGAACGGGUGAGUAAUAUAUCGGAACGUACCCAGAAGUGGGGGAUAACGUAGCGAAAGUUACGCUAAUACCGCAUACGAUCUACGGAUGAAAGUGGGGGACCUUCGGGCCUCAUGCUUGUGGAGCGGCCGAUAUCUGAUUAGCUAGUUGGUAGGGUAAAGGCCUACCAAGGCGACGAUCAGUAGCUGGUCUGAGAGGACGACCAGCAACACUGGGACUGAGACACGGCCCAGACUCCUACGGGAGGCAGCAGUGGGGAAUUUUGGACAAUGGGCGCAAGCCUGAUCCAGCAAUGCCGCGUGAGUGAAGAAGGCCUUCGGGUUGUAAAGCUCUUUUGUCAGGGAAGAAACGGGACUGGAUAAUACCUGGUCCUAAUGACGGUACCUGAAGAAUAAGCACCGGCUAACUACGUGCCAGCAGCCGCGGUAA